UACAGAGGGGGCGAGCGUUGUUCGGAAUUACUGGGCGUAAAGGGCGCGUAGGCGGCCUCUUAAGUCGAACGUGAAAUCCCCGGGCUCAACCCGGGAACUGCGUCCGAUACUGGGGGGCUUGAAUCCGGGAGAGGGAUGUGGAAUUCCAGGUGUAGCGGUGAAAUGCGUAGAUAUCAGGAGGAACACCGGUGGCGAAGGCGGGUCUCUGGGCCGAUACUGACGCUGAGGAGCGAAAGCGUGGGGAGCGAACAGG
RNAcentral lists this ribosomal RNA (253 nucleotides) under uncultured bacterium. Its description in RNAcentral is "partial 16S ribosomal RNA". It matches the Rfam family "Bacterial small subunit ribosomal RNA", at positions 524 to 776 of the family's 1533-position model. The record is from RNAcentral.